UAGGAGGCCAAAUGAGAUCUAAUUGUGUCUUAUUUAACUUGGCCUUUUGCGUGGAUAAUCCUUGGCUUUCUCUGCAAAUAUCACACUUUUGUCAAACUAACCGGACUCCAAUAUGUUUUUCUUUGUGUAAAUGCAAAGUAUUUUUUAUCAUUCAAUAGUAACUCAACUAAUAAAGUUUUCAACUUUAACUGGAGACUAUGCUCUAAUGGAAACCAUAUUAUCAGUGGAAAGAGUCCCAUUACUUAUGAUCAUAUUCUAGUUCAAAUAGUUCACACAGCAGGACAUCUAAAGAGGCCCAAAAAAAUAGUCCAAGAAAUAUUACUUUUGCAAAUAUUCACACACUCAAUUCAAAUAUAAUGUAAAAAUAAGAGACUAGGUUAUCCAGAUAAAUAGAUGUUUAUGAUUAGGAAAGAAAGUUUGAAAUAUUAUCAUUCACAAAUAUCUUCACUAAAGGGAUAUGAGAGGUGGGCAAAGAGUUGAAGUAAAGAAAAAUCCCAAGCAGACAUAGCUCUCAAGCUAAUUGUCUUAGGGUUUAUAUUGAAAUAUAUAAUAUUUGCUGAAGAAGGUAUAACUUCCUAAUUUUAUUUUUUUUAUCAGGGUGUCCAUGAAAUUCUUGAGGCCUUGGCUCAAGGUGACCAAGAUUCUAGUCUAAACUGGGCCAUCAACUCACAGAGUGCACUUAGGCAAAUUGCUUGUUCUCUCUGGACUCCAUUCCCUACCUGAAAAUGAAUGUUUUGAACUAGAUGAUUGUCAGGUUCUUUUCCAGCUCUAACCACAUAUAACUUGAUUUGAGUUUGAGCCUUGGUGAAUAAUCUGAAGUUGAGUUAAAGUUGAAAGGAAAAUAUGGUUUCUUGAUGUGUUUAGUUUUGUUCUUUUUUAGCUUUAAAAAAUCUUUAGGAGAAGAUCAUUCCCUUAAGAUACCAAUGUGUCAUGUCCUAGGAGAGCUGGAAUUGACCUGGAUCCUUGUGGGAAAUACUUCAGUGAUGGAUGGAAGCAGAGGGAGAAAGGACCAAAAUGAAGCCAGGAGGGACAAGAUGGCUGGAAUGUUUGGUUCUGAGGAUUCAUGAUUGUCCUUAACUCACACGGACUGAACUCUCGCUUGCCUGUCUUCCUGGGGCUUGUGUAAGAACAUCCUGCAGAAAAGUAUUAACAACGCGAGUGAUCUUCACUGUGUUUAACGAUUCAUUGAUUGUAAAAGAUGUUUUACCUGGGAUAACAAUGAGUGUGUAUUCCUGGAGCCUAAACUCACUGACCUGGAAGGGGGCCCCGAGAAGUGUGCUAAGUGGACAAAGGAAGCCUGGCUAGAGUUUAUAGUUUUCUAACUAGAUAAUUGAGUGAACUAAAAGGUCUUUUAUUAUCCUUAUGUGGAUUACGUACUUUGCAGGAUAUGCAUAGUCAUUAUUAAAACCAUGUGUACUCCUGUCUCACUUCUGAGCACCUUCUCUGAAAUCAGUCCAUAUAUGCUCAGGAAUGCAAACCACACUCAUUUCAGAGUCAGUGUCAACAAACAUAAUUAAGGAGGCAAAUUUACUUCAUAAGUUUUCUAAUGCCUUCUGCAUUAAAUAGAAAUGACUUUUGGCUGCUCCCAUCUAUUCAUGUGUAUAAUUGUUAAGUUCAGAUCUGAUUUUCCUGGAAGAACAAGUUUGAAUCUCAACAGGCUUGAUCUAGUCUCCCAUCUCCAUGUUCCCCAUAGUGACAGGUAAUUCAUGGAAAUUACUGUCUCAGCAUUUUAAAUAAACCUCCUUUAAGCUGAAAUCAAGAUGAUCUCAUAUAGAAAAGAGUGUAGGUAAAACUCAUAUUUAAGAAAUGGUACAGAGUGAGCAGAAAUUCUCACAGAAUUUUUGAGUCAGAAAUAUUUUUGUUAUACGGGAAAAAGGGACUUGCAGUUGUGCUCUUGAUUAUAAAAAGAAAGGAAAUCAAAUAGCUUUGAAAUGUUCCAUUAAAACCUUAUUUUAAUAUAUUCUUGCCACAAUGUAAGGACCUAUGUAAACUAAGUAAAAUUUCAUGACUCACACUGAGUUGCAUUUUGUAUCAUUUUCUUGUCUUCAUUGCUAUUUCUUUUCUUUUCUUUUUUUUUUUUUUUUCUCGAGACAGAGUCUCACUUUGUUGCCAGGCUGGAGUGCAGUAGCGUGAUCUCAGCUGACUGCAAUCUCCACCUCCCAGGUUCAAGCAAUUCUCCUGCCUCAGCCUCCCGAGUAGCUGGGAUUACAGGCAUGUGCCACCAUGCCCAGCUAAUUUUUGUAUUCUUAGUAGAGACGGGGUUUCACCAUGUUGGCCAGGCUGGUCUCGAAUUCUUGACCUCGUAAUCCACCCACAUCAGCUUCCCAGAGUGCUAGGAAUACAGGCGUGAGCCAUGGCGCCUGGCCCCAUUGCUAUUUCUUAAACCUGGAAAUGCCCCUACUUAUUUCAUGCUACUACAAAAAUGUGUCCAUAGUACUAAUGCUUUCCUGUGGCCAGAGACAUUUUAGGUAUUUCUAAAUACCUAAAUAUUUCUAAUAUAUUCUAAAAUAUUCUACCUAAUAUAGUCUAAAAUAUUCUUUUAGAAAAUAUUAAUAAAUUGAUAAAAUAUGAAAGUGAAACCUAUGGCAGUAAUUUUUAUGAAACAGUAUUUUAGGAUAAUUUAAGAAUAUUGCAUAACUCUCUUAAUAGUCAUUUAUUAUUCUUGUUCAUUCUAUUGUAGGUAUAAAAAUUCAACGAGUAUGUCAAUGUCCUUUAUAUUUUACUUUAAAGGUAUUAAAAUAUUUACAGUUAAUUUUUUAUUACACAAGCAGGAAAUGAAUACAUUCUUAAGGUAAAAAUUAAAACUCUGAUGAUAUAGAUACAAUCCUUUUUGACUAGCACCUAGAAACUAGGUCUCCUUCCUAGAUGAUGUUUACACUACUAUCUGCUUAGCGUACAUCCUCCCAGAUCAUUAUCUGUACAUAUAUAAUUCCUGGUAAAAUAUAGAGUAUUUUGAGAUAUCUUUAAUAUAACUGGUGUGAAAUGGCUGUUAUACUAUAGCUUGUUUUUCACUUAAUAUGUCUUGAGGAGUUUUCAGUGUUAGUACAUAUAAUAAACUUAAUUAUUUUAAACUGUUGCUUGGUACUUUAUGAUACAGCUGUUACAAAAUUUAUUUUCCAUUCUAAUUUUGGUAGAUAUUUAGGUUGCUUUCAUUUUUUUACGAUGACAAAGAAUUCUGCAAUGAAUUGUUAUAUGUCUCUUUACAACUGUGAAGUCUGAGCAGUAUCCUAAAUGAUUUUGCAUUCUUCUGUGUAGCUUUGACACCAGCUAAUUCUAAGUUCCUUAAUGAUAUAGUUUGGCUGUGUCCCCACCCACAUCUCAUCUUGAAUUGUGGCUCCCAUAAUUCCCAUGUGUUGUGAAAGGGACCCGGUGGGAGAUAAAUGAAUCAUAAGAGCAGUUUCCCCUAUACUGUUUUUGUGGUAGUGAAUAAGUCUCAUGAGAUCUGAUGGUUUUAUAGAGUCCUGCCAAUGAGAUGUAGACAGAAGUCUACUGAGACUGGCUUCUUUUCACCAACAAAAAGACAAAGCCCUUCAAGGAGAAGUCUUUAGGCCUAAUUGCCUCAUUUUUGCCUGGAACAUGGAUGUGAUUUCUGGAGGCGCACCAGCCACUGCAGGGCCCUGUUCAUAAAGGUAUGCCAAGGGUGCAGACUAGGGAGAGAGAAAGUUUCUGGUGAGGUUGGUCUUGGUGGCUCCAGCCUGGGCAACAGAACAAGACUCUGUCACACAAAAAAAGAAAUUUCUGGUGGACAUUGGUACAUCCACCCUGAAGAGCUGAUUUUUUGUGGUAUUUUCUAUUAUUUGUUACAGAAAGCAAUCCGUAUAUACUGAAUAUGUUACUUCCCCUUUUCUCUCUUCCUCCUCCCCUCCCUUCCUUCCUUCUUCCCCCACUUCUCUCUUUUUCUUAUUUAUUUAUUUAUUUAUUUAUUUAUUUAUUUAUUUAUUUAUUUAUUUGAGACGCAAUCUCACUCUGUCACCCAAGCUGGAGUGCAGUGGCAUGGUCUCGGCUCACUGCAACCUCCGCCUCCUGGGUUCAAGUGAUUCUCUUGCCUCAGCCUCCUGGGUAGCUGGGAUUACAGGCUCUUGCCACCACACAUGGCUAAUUUUUUUUAUUUUUAGUAGAGUCAGGGUUUCACCGUGUUGGCCAGGCUGGUUUCGAACUUCUAAUCUCAAGUAAUCCUCCUGCCUCGGCCUCCCAAAGUGUUGGGGUUACACGCAUGAGCCACCAUGCUCAGCCCCUCUUUUGCUUAUUUUUUUUGACGUCAGACAAGGCAAUGGCAACCUGAGAUCAAUCCAAAAGUUAAUAUUUGGUUUUAACUCUGUGCUUAAAAUGCAGCAAAUAUUUCUUUCUUUCUUUCUUUCUUUUUUUUUUUGAGACAGAGUCUCAAGUCUCGCUCUUUCUCCCAGGCUGGAGUGAAGCAGCGAAAUCUUGGCUCAUGGCAAACUCCACCCCCGGGGUUCAAGUGAUUCUCCUGCCUCAGCCUCAUGAGUAGCUGGAAUUACAGGCGCCCCCCACCAUGCCUGGUUAAUUUUUGUAUUUUUAAUAGAGGCGGGGUUUCGCCAUGUUGGCCAGGCUGGUCUCUAACUCCUGACCUCAGGUGAUCCACCUGCCUUGGCCUCCCAAAGUGCUGGGAUUACAGGUGUGAGCCACCGUGCCCAGCCAAAGUGCAGCAAGUAUUUCGGCGGGGAGGGGGCAAAGGAUGGUAGUGUGGUGGGGGAUGAAAGAAACUGCUGCUGUUCUCCUUUUUUUCUUUGCAGGCCCUAGGGAUUAUAAUCCUUAUCUCUCCAGCCAUCUUCAUAUAAUAAUUUUAACAGGGAGGCCAAUUAUUUACUUUUAAGAUCUAGGAAUGGAAGUUAAGAAAUGAGUUCUAGGCCAGGCGUGGUGGCUCACACCUGUAAUUCCAGCAUUUCUGGGAGGCUGAGGUGCACAGAUCUCCUGAGCUCAAGAGUUUGAGACCAGCCUGGGCGACAUGGCAAAAACCCCGUCUCUACAAAUAAUAUAAAAAUUAGCUGGCAUGAUGGUGCGUGUCUGUAGUCCUAGCUACUUGGGAGGCUGAAGCCAGAGGAUCACUUGAGUCUGGGAGGUCGAGGCUGCAGUGACCUGAGAUUGCACCAUUGCAUUUUAACCUGGAUGACAGAGCGCGACCCUGUUUCAAAAAAAAAAAAAAAAAAAAAAAGAGAGAGAGAGAGAAUCCUCCGUCUGGUUGGUAGUGCAUCUUUCCUCAAAUAGUGAGUAGCUGUUUGGUUACUUUGUGAUAAACAUGAAAAACAAAAACAACCUCCCCUUCUGAGAGAAUUUCUGUCAAAUGAGUUCUAAAGGCUUCUUUCUUGGAGGCAGAAAUUCUGUAUGAGAAGAAGUCAUUUGAGUUUGUAGUUAACUUGGUUCCUGUGUGUGUGUGUGUGUUUCUGUUUGUGAAGCUGUACUCAUAAACCAUGCAAGGACACUGAGGUGAGGAUUGAGAGAAAAGAAGUUCUCGGUUUCUGGAGAUGGAAUCUGGACAUUCCACUAGACAUACUUCUGGGCAGCCAUUUUUGUACCUCUCUCUACACUGUGCAUUUCCUCUAGGCUAUCACAGACCAGUGUUCAGGCUGACAAGCAUGCGGGCUGUUUACCUCAAGAGACUGAUUGGGUUCUGGACCAAGUGUGUGGUCAGCUACUUGAAUGAAUACACUCUCAUUCUCUGGCUUUUCCUCGUGCUUGUCUUGGUUAAGGAAAAUGUCUAAGAAGACACAGUACAGAAAAUGCUUUGGUUUUCUCAUGCGUAAAAAUUCUUUCUUAUUUUGCACUUCAGACAACACAUAUUCAUGUUUUUUCUACAUAAGUUGUGGAUAUUGGGACAAAAAGGAAAAAGAAAAAAUAGGCCUAAGCAGAAUGUAAUAAUAAUGCUAGCAAAAUACCAGCACUAUUAUUUGAGCUUGCAGGUUGUACCCUGCGUAACUCUAGGGUGUGGCAUUCACAUAGCUUUUCAUGUGACCAAUGUUCCUUAGAGCUAUG
RNAcentral lists this long non-coding RNA (5991 nucleotides) under Homo sapiens (human). RNAcentral describes it as "HSALNT0093671". Lineage: Eukaryota; Metazoa; Chordata; Mammalia; Primates; Hominidae. The record is from RNAcentral.